AACGAACGCUGGCGGCAUGCCUAACACAUGCAAGUCGAACGAGACCUUCGGGUCUAGUGGCGCACGGGUGCGUAACGCGUGGGAACCUGCCCUUAGGUUCGGAAUAACUCCCGGAUGGGGUGGUUAAACCGGAUUAUUUUCUCGGACCAAAGAUUUAUCGCCUUUGGAUGGGCCCGCGUUGGAUUAGCUAGUUGGUAGGGUAAAAGCCUACCAAGGCGACGAUCCAUAGCUGGUCUGAGAGGAUGAUCAGCCACACUGGGACUGAGACACGGCCCAGACUCCUACGGGAGGCAGCAGUGGGGAAUAUUGGACAAUGGGCGAAAGCCUGAUCCAGCAAUGCCGCGUGAGUGAUGAAGGCCUUAGGGUUGUAAAGCUCUUUUACCCGGGAUGAUAAUGACAGUACCGGGAGAAUAAGCUCCGGCUAACUCCGUG
This 432-nucleotide ribosomal RNA is filed under the name uncultured bacterium. RNAcentral describes it as "partial 16S ribosomal RNA". It matches the Rfam family "Bacterial small subunit ribosomal RNA", at positions 29 to 507 of the family's 1533-position model. The record is from RNAcentral.